AAGUAACGUCUGCUCAUGGUAAAAUAAAUAGCCGCAAUUCGUGCUAAGGUAGCAUAAUCAUUUGUCUUUUAAUUGAAGACUAGAACAAAAGACUUAACAUUUUAAUAUUUUUUUUUAAAAAUUUAAAUUUAAAUUUUCUUAAAUGUAAAAAGACAUUUAUUUAUAAAAAAGACGAAAAGACCCUAUUAAACUUAACUUUAGUUUAACUGGGGAAGUUAAUUAAUUAUUAUUUUAAUAAAAAUAUUUAAUAAAAAAUCUAUUUUAAUUAAUAAAUAAUGUUACUAUAGGGAUAACAGCAUAAUUAUUAUAUAAAGCCCUUAUUUAAAUAAUAGUUUAUGACCUCGAUGUUGAAUUAAUUUUCUAAUUAAAGCAAAAUUUAAAAAAGAAAGUCUGUUCGACUUUUAAAAAAUU
This 411-nucleotide ribosomal RNA is filed under the name Myrmarachne japonica. RNAcentral describes it as "partial 16S ribosomal RNA". Lineage: Eukaryota; Metazoa; Arthropoda; Arachnida; Araneae; Salticidae. The record is from RNAcentral.